GGAGCUGGCGAUUGGGGUGAAGUCGUAACAAGGUAGCCGUACCGGAAGGUGUGGCUGGAUCACCUCCUUUUUAAGGAG
Molecule: ribosomal RNA, 78 nt
Filed under: bacterium
Lineage: Bacteria
Description: partial 16S ribosomal RNA
Rfam family: Bacterial small subunit ribosomal RNA (bases 1-70)
Source: RNAcentral